This 450-nucleotide ribosomal RNA is filed under the name uncultured bacterium. Its description in RNAcentral is "partial 16S ribosomal RNA". It matches the Rfam family "Bacterial small subunit ribosomal RNA", at positions 354 to 796 of the family's 1533-position model. The record is from RNAcentral.
GUGGGGAAUAUUGGACAAUGGGCGCAAGCCUGAUCCAGCCAUACCGCGUGGGUGAAGAAGGCCUUCGGGUUGUAAAGCCCUUUUGUUGGGAAAGAAAUCCUAUCGAUUAAUACUCGGUGGGGAUGACGGUACCCAAAGAAUAAGCACCGGCUAACUUCGUGCCAGCAGCCGCGGUAAUACGAAGGGUGCAAGCGUUACUCGGAAUUACUGGGCGUAAAGCGUGCGUAGGUGGUUGUUUAAGUCUGCUGUGAAAGCCCUGGGCUCAACCUGGGAAUUGCAGUGGAUACUGGGCAACUAGAGUGUGGUAGAGGGAUGCGGAAUUUCUGGUGUAGCAGUGAAAUGCGUAGAGAUCAGAAGGAACAUCCGUGGCGAAGGCGGCAUCCUGGGCCAACACUGACACUGAGGCACGAAAGCGUGGGGAGCAAACAGGAUUAGAUACCCUAGUAGUCC